UAAUACAGUGUGCAUUAUUGCAUCUGAAGUAUCCUGUUUUUAAUUUUUUUAAAGGAAACUUAGUGAAGUGACGUAUAUAUCCUGCUCUGAUGAACGUGAUGUAGCAAAGAACCAUGCAGAUAGUAAAUAUAAGUUACUUGAUAAGAAAGGUUAGUUUGAAAUAUGUGGUCAUUGGGAGUUAAGAAAAUGUGGCAGAUUUUUUCUUCAGAUUAUGCGCUUUGCAUGGUCAUCUAUCUUUUGCGAUGUCUGCAUUCUAAAAUCAUAUUUAGAUGAUGUGAUUACUUCAGAUAUUUGGUGUUGGUGACUGGUCGCAUUUCGUAUCUAUUGGUGGCUGAUCAUCAGAUUUUCUAAGUCUUCCCGUUGCUUACCCAAAAAAUCAUACGAAGAGUAGUCGGAUUUAGUGUGGCAGUUCUUGUGCAACAUUCCUG
RNAcentral lists this ribosomal RNA (428 nucleotides) under Triticum aestivum (bread wheat). RNAcentral describes it as "partial small subunit ribosomal RNA". Lineage: Eukaryota; Viridiplantae; Streptophyta; Magnoliopsida; Poales; Poaceae. The record is from RNAcentral.